GUUAAAAAAUAAAUUGAAUAGAAUGGUGCCCAAUGAGGGUAGGCAGAUGGGAGCCAUGGUUGCCCCAUAUAGUUUGAAAUUCAAAUCAUACUCCUCUUUAAAACUGCAUUUAAAUCAGGUGAUGGUGGCUCAUGCCUUUAGUCCCAGCACUUAGGAGGCAGAGGCAGAUGGAUCUCUGAGUUCUAGGCCAGUCUGGUCUACAGGACAACCAGAGCUACACAGAGAAAUUCUGUCUUGAAAACAAACAAAAACCCAAACACAGGUUUGAGUCUUAAGAAUGCAUUUAAGGACUAGCAUAGAUAUUCUUUUUUUUUUUUUUAAAGAUUUAUUUAUUUAUUAUAUGUAAGUACACUGUAGAUGUCUUCAGACACUCCAGAAGAGGGAGUCAGAUCUUGUUACAGAUGGUUGUGAGCCACCAUGUGGUUGCUGGGACUUGAACUUCAGACCUUCAGAAGAGCAGUCGGGUGCUCUUACCCACUGAGCCAUCUCACCAGCCCUAGAUAUUCUUUAUGAACUGUACUUAUAACUAUGAUAAGAAACCUUUAGACAGUAUAUAGUCCUUUUCCACAAAAACAUUAAGAAUUCCACAGAAAAGGGUAUUAUUUAAAAGUCAUUACAUGCAUAAUUUAAAUGUCAUGUCUUUUAACUUUAAUUUUUUGUUUUAUGCGUAUGGGUGUUUUGACUGCAUGUAUGUUUGUGAACUGUGCGUGUGCCUGUAGAUGCGUGUGUGUGAUGUCCGUAGAGGCCAGAAGUCCUCAUGAGAUGCCCUGGAACUGGAGCCAAAGAAGGUUGUGAAUGACCGCGUGGUGCUGGGAAUUGAACCUGGGUCCUCUGGAAGAGCAGCCAGCGCCCUUCACCUCUGAACCAUUUCGAUGUCUUACCAGUCCCUAAUGUGAUAUCUUACUUUAAGAGACGUCUAUAGGCGCAUGUCUUUAAUCCCAGCACUUGGGAGGCAAAGGCAGGCGGAUUUCUGAGUUCGAGGCCAGCCUGGUCUAAGGGCUACACAGAGAAACCCUGUCUCUGGGGAAAACAAAAAAUAACAACAAAAAAGAGAGACGUCUAUAUUCUGAUAAAGUUCAUUAUGUUAUAUAAUAUUUCUAAGUGAGUGUACAGUAGUAUCUUAAUGUGAGGAAUUUUAUGUGUGUGCAUGUGUUCAGUGUUACAGAAUUUUUAAACUAACUUUUAAAGAUUUAUUUGUUUUAGGUGAGUAUACUGUUUCUGUCUUCAGACACACCAGAAGAGGGCAUCAGAUCCCACUACAGAGAGUUAUGAGCCACCAUGUGGUGGCUGGAAUUGAACUCAGGACCUCUGGAAGAGCAGUCCGUGUUCUUAACUGCUGAGCUAUCUCUAAAGCCCUUAAAUAUAUAUUUUAACGUGUGAAAAUUUUAAAAUUUGAAUGUUACUUACCUGAUAAAUACUUCUUGUCAUAUGGGACUAAAAUGCAAAAGAAAAAUCAAAAUUAAAAGUUUUAAGGAUGCCUUACAAGAUUUACUUUAUAUACAGCUCUUUAAAAUGGGUACUCUGUGAGCUUAAUAUCCCCAUUUUACUGCAUCGUCAAGUUUCUAUCUUACCUGUUCCAAAUUUACUUUUUAAAAAUCAGAUACCUAGACCUGACAAAUGCAUUGGCUUGGUUGGUAGAAAAAGAAUAAAGGAGCGUCACAAAAUAUAAUAAUAAAUGAGAGAAAAUUUUCUGGUUGUAGAGUCUGUAGAAAACAUGUAAAAUUAAACAGCUGUGGAAUUUCU
RNAcentral lists this long non-coding RNA (1743 nucleotides) under Mus musculus (house mouse). RNAcentral describes it as "long non-coding RNA chr2:60253663-60255406". The record is from RNAcentral. Lineage: Eukaryota; Metazoa; Chordata; Mammalia; Rodentia; Muridae.